RNAcentral lists this ribosomal RNA (255 nucleotides) under uncultured bacterium. Its description in RNAcentral is "partial 16S ribosomal RNA". It matches the Rfam family "Bacterial small subunit ribosomal RNA", at positions 524 to 776 of the family's 1533-position model. The record is from RNAcentral.
GACGGAGGAUGCAAGUGUUAUCCGGAAUCACUGGGCGUAAAGCGUCUGUAGGUGGUUCGAAAAAGUCCACUGUUAAAAAAUUGAGGCUUAACUUCAAAGAUGCCGUGGAAACUUUCAAACUAGAGUAUGGUAGGGGUAGAGGGAAUUUCCAGUGGAGCGGUGAAAUGCGUAGAUAUUGGAAAGACCACCGAUGGCGAAGGCAGCCAUCUGGACCGACACUGACGCUGAGGCGCGAAAGCGUGGGGAGCAAACAGG